This 228-nucleotide long non-coding RNA is filed under the name Helianthus annuus (common sunflower). RNAcentral's name for it is "sRNA HanXRQr2_Chr13g0612191". Lineage: Eukaryota; Viridiplantae; Streptophyta; Magnoliopsida; Asterales; Asteraceae. The record is from RNAcentral.
GUUUUCGAAGAGGUCAAAGUCGGUCAAUGUCGUAACAUACAAAGGGAACAAAGAUAUUCGGGCUGCUGUUAUAGAUUCAAAAUAUCAAGUCCUUUUAUCUUCACCGGAUGCCAUUGUUGAGGACAUGGAAAUGUUUGACCAUAAGUGGGAAUUGUUAGUGAUAGACGAGUGUCAAAGCCCCGUAUUUUCAACGCACUUUAAGGAAAUUCGGAUGCUUAUGGCUGAUAU